UAAAAAUAAUGUUGGCGAGCACAUCAUCGAGCGCUCCGACAUGCCAGAUCACCUGGUCAAACAAGUAGGCGGAGAAAUGGUGUUUGAGCAGGUCUAAGAUCAGGUAUUCCCAAUUACCUCCUACCCAAUAGCUGAAAUAAACAAUAAUUCCAUGCGAAUUGUCAACCAGCAUAAAGGUGCAUACGUCAAUGAUAGACAGUUGAAGCAGCGACAACGGCUGCGAGCAGUACCUGUGACGGAGGUGCACUACACUUGGGAUGAGGUGAAUACUCGCUACUGGGUCUUUGGACUGGAACGUAGAGUGCACGCCCCUGAUUAUCCACAACAGUGCUGUUGGGGCUGUACCAUCUUGUAAAAGUUCACGCCAAAAAGGAGAUGUCUUGGACUUCACAUUGGAAAUAGAAAUUACAUUUUUGUUCUGUGAAAUUUAAAGUACAUGUAGAAAAUUAUCUUAAGCAUUGUGUCUGAUAUCUAUCAAAGUCCUCGAUGUUAUCAAUGUGAUAUUAAUCCUUCUAAAACCAAUAUUUCAAUUAUUGCGCUUGUCUACUAAUCUUAUUUUAAAUGUGUCACCUAUUGGGCAGGGUAUAACAUUAGUAUGACGCUUCAGAAAAGACGUUGAAUUUCAAUCAAUGGUUUAUUUAUUUAAUGAGGACUGCAAACAGCCCUAGGGCUUGGAAUAGGCUCCCCUCAGACGGUUCCUGUAUAGUUCAUUAUUGACUUGUGUUCUCUUAUAACCUCAUCCAAUUUCAGUAGGUAUUUUACAUCAUACUUUUCACCCAUUCCUAAAACGAACUCACAUAACUGAUAUUAUCCUAAAUUUAGAAUAUAUAGGUGUUUCUUGAAAGAAAUGUAUUGAUGGGAUUGUUUGAAAAAAUUCAAUUUGCAAUAGAAACGAGAUUGUCAAAACCUAUCACAUAGUUUUUGAUUACCAACGGCUUUGAUUAAACUCUGAACCAGGUCACGCACACACGACGUAGUAAGCAGUAUUAUGUAUUUUAGAAUUAUUGUAUAUUUCACAACUGUAUUGCAAAUGUAAAUUUCCUCUGUACUCUGGGAUCUCUACUCCGGUGUGACUGCUAUUAACACAUUGUCUUGUUUUUAACACAAUAUGUUUCCUAGAUGAUUUUAAUCAAGGUGUAUUUAACACAACUAUACAUGUGCCAAUAGUUGGAAGAGUUCAUGAUUUGUACUUGGAAUAUCAAGUGCAUUGAUUAAGUAUUAUUUUUCUAUUGAAUUUUGUAUUUUCUUCUGAAUCUGUUUAUAAAUCUGAAGAGUGAUUUUUUUUAUUUUUUUUUUUUUAUAUUGUGUAUGUAAACAUUCUCUUUCCUGUUUAAUUGAAAUAAAUUGCUGUAAGCGUU
This is a long non-coding RNA of Ostrea edulis (European flat oyster), 1358 nucleotides long. RefSeq lists it as uncharacterized. Lineage: Eukaryota; Metazoa; Mollusca; Bivalvia; Ostreida; Ostreidae. The record is from RefSeq and is a predicted model, not a curated record. The transcript is spliced from 3 exons.